Molecule: long non-coding RNA, 928 nt
Filed under: Scleropages formosus (Asian bonytongue)
Lineage: Eukaryota; Metazoa; Chordata; Actinopteri; Osteoglossiformes; Osteoglossidae
Description: lncRNA (ENSSFOG00015029296.1)
Source: RNAcentral
AUGGAGCGCUCGUCCUCUGACGCUGUGACCAAACGUAAACAAUAUAAUGAGGUUAAUGGGAUCGUGUGUCAUCGUAAGUCCAGGUGGUCUUUAAGUCACAUGUGUUGUAACUUGAGGACCACCGGUAACGUCGUGCUGUGUUUUACAGGGCUCGGUGGACUUUGGCUCAACUCAACUGAAGAUAAAAACACAGAAAAACAUCUAUAUAUAGACAAUUCUGCAAUAACAGAAAGACAGAAGAAUGCAAGAGAACUCUUGGAUGAGCUGUGCUCUGAAGCUCUGCUGAGUGGCACUUUUAGAAACCGACGCCAGAUGUUGGCCAUCGGGCCUCCGUCUGCACUCGCUUGUCCGCGGAGGGAGGCCCGCGAGCGUGCUCGUUUUCCCUCACGAGAGCGCUGUAGGAUGGUGACGCGGUUCCCGGAGGACAGCGGGAGGAAAGCGCGUUCCUUAGGUGGCCACGAUUUUGCUCAAUUUCUUCACUCAAGCUUAAGGCAGGACCGGCGGGUGCCCGCGCCGCCGAGGCAUCGGGGAGGCCGUGGAAGAAAACGGCACUGUUUGUGUGUUACAACAGGGACGCCUGCGCAAAGCGCACAUGUAGCGUGUCCGUCGAAGCAGCCGAAAGAAGGCGAGAGAAAAUUUGCAGAACCCCUGGUCCGAGGGCAAGGAACGUCAGUAGGUUUACGGAUGCUGAAGGAGUGGAUUUAUUAAUGCAAGCCAUAACAAAAUCAAAAAGAUGGACAGUGAGCGGACAGAAGGAAGAGGGACGGAAGGAGAAUCGCCGAAGAAACUAAAAGAGUUGGGAGUAGAGGGAACAGGAUAACGAAACGAACUUCUGUGUUAAAAUGCAUGACAAAACAAACAAACAAUGAAUUCAAUUUUAAUAAGAGAAGAAAAUAAAAAUCGAUAAAAUUAAUUAUUAAAUGAGGUU